This is an RNA transcript of Setaria italica (foxtail millet), 2454 nucleotides long. It is a transcript of the gene named probable protein phosphatase 2C 37, with no coding region annotated. The transcript has 4 exons. Lineage: Eukaryota; Viridiplantae; Streptophyta; Magnoliopsida; Poales; Poaceae. The record is from RefSeq and is a predicted model, not a curated record.
GAGAGGCGGUGGUACAAAGAUGAUAAUGAAGCCUCGCUUGUCGCCUGGCCGGAGAGGAGACUAGCACACACACGACACGCGUUAUAUUUGUCCAAGGCGCUGAUGUAAGUAGCCCAGGCGAAGCAGGCCGCCAGGCCGUUGCGCGCCGUGGGCUCCGAGGUGCCAGUUUGCGCGCGGCGACGGCCUCCCUCCCUCCGGGCGGCGGGACCACGCGCCCCCUGCACCUCCCGGGCCACGUCUCGCGCGGCGUCUCCACGUGGCGACUCCUGGGUCCCGCCCGCCGCACAGCAACCGCCUGCUCUUCCGUCCACGCGACCGGACGGGCCUCGCCCACGCUAGCGAGCGAGCAGACAAGAACAGGACACCCGCGCUCGCCUCUCCAUCCUUGCUUCCCCUCCCGCUCCUCUCUUCCUCCCCAUCCGAUAUGAUCCCCUCCGUCUCCAUCUCUUGCUCCUGUGCCCUAGCCAGGUAGCUAGAGCUAGCUUCGAUGGGCUCCCCUGCUCUGCUCCGGGACUCUUCUUAGCUUCCUGCGCGCGUGCAGUGGCCGCGCCGUCGCCGGCCGGAGAGCAGAGGCCAUGGUGAUGGCUAGCGCCGGCGACGGGAGCCAGGCAUCAGCGUCCUUCUCCUCCACCCCGGAAUGCCGGAUACGCAGGCGGCGCCGCCUCGCGCCGUUGCCCGUGUCCACGGCCGCGGGAUCCAGCGAGAGCGCCGGCGCCAGCGCCGCGGGCCCGAGCCGGGAGAAGCGCAUCCGGCCGGCCUCCCCGACUUCCUCGUCGUCGGCAACGUCAGAUGUCGAUAGCGACGUCGAGCAAGGUGAAGAAGUAGACGAAGCUGUGGAGGAAGAGGAACUGCGGCCGCUCCCGCCCGCGGGUCCGCUGCAUCAGGUUCUGGCGGCGGCCGCGGCGCAGGCAGCGUGGCCGGUCGCGUUCGGGUCCCUGUCAGUGGCGGGGCGGUCGCGGGACAUGGAGGACACCGUGUCGCUCCGCCCGGGCUUCCACACCUGGGUCGACGGCUCCCCCAUGCACUUCUUCGGCGUCUUCGACGGCCACGGCGGAUCCCAUGUGUCAGAGCUAUGCCGGGACCGGAUGCACGAGUUCCUGGCCGAGGAGCUGGCGGCGGAGGCGGCGAGCUUCGCGCAGCGCCUGAGCCGCCGGCAGCAGAAGGCCGCGGCGGGGGAAGGGACGAGCGCGGCCGGUGCCACCACCAGCGGCGGCGGGGUGCAGGACGAGGAGCAGCAGCAGGAGGAGCGCGCGUGGCGCGCGGCACUGUCGCGGACGUUCCGGCGCGUAGACGCGCUGGCGUCCCUGGCGUGCGCUUGCGGGCGCAUCGCGAGCCCGCCGUGCCGCUGCCCGCUGUCGGGGAACUCCGGCAUCGUCGGGUCCACCGCCGUGGUGGCGGUGCUCGUCCGCGGCCGCCUCGUCGUGGCCAACUGCGGCGACUCCCGUGCCGUGCUCUGCCGCGGCGGCGGCCCCGGCGCCGCCACGCCCGUGCCGCUCUCCGACGACCACAAGUGGUCUCCCGUCGCGACGUUGACCGUUGACUCGUGCGUGGUGAGGUGUCGCCCGUCCAGAAGCUUAGCAUCGGCGCGCAUCUGGCAGCUCGUGGUUGGCCGCCGGCCGGCAUGGCUUACUGCUUGCCGACGUGGACCACGAUUGCGUCAGCAACAACUUAUACUGAUCUGUGAGAGGAAAAAAUGGGAUGGCUCGAGAAGAAGAGAGGGGAGAAUUCCGUGAGUUGGAUCGAUCCAUGGACGGAGCUGAGCCGCCUGAGCCUGAGCCUGAGGUGCUGGGAUUUCGGUGCGGGGCAGCACGGAUAUCAAAGCGGGCCAUGCAGUGGCAGUCCCGUGGAUUGAUUCCAGGGAACUUUAGGGGCGCCGUCGCCGUCGGGCGGGAGGACACGUGGCGGCGGCGGCGGGGGAUUCCGGGUCGUGACGGUGGUCGAGGGGGCACGUGUCGGUCGCCGCCGGGGCACGUGGGGCGACCGGGGUGGUGGCCGGGCGGUGGGCCAGGCAGCUCAAACUAAAGCAGGGAGGAGGGCCCCAUCUCCACUCGCUGUCGCCUGCGCGGUGCCGGCGAGGGGGUGGUGGGCGGAGGCGCCACCUGCCCUUGCUGCUCGCUUUUCUCUGUCCUGGCGUUUUGCUUUUCGAUCGGUGGUCCGCAGAAAUUUUAAACUAGCAGGUUUCUUUUUAGUGGCCGGAAAAAGUUGGUGCGCCAACGUUCGUGCUGAUUACGACGCCACGUAAUAGAAUUAGGGUUAUGCUGAUUAGGUUUAGCCAUCCUCAAGCUGACUGGUGGGUUUGAUGCAGCCCAACAGGCCGGACGAGCUGGCGCGGAUCCAGGCGGCGGGCGGCCGGGUGGUGUUCAACAACGGCCACCGCGUGCGUGGCAUCCUCGCCAUGUCGCGCGCACUAGGAGACAGGAUGCUGCGUCCUGAGGUGAUCGCCGAGCCAGAGAU